GUGAGGAAUUUUCCGCAAUGGGCGAAAGCCUGACGGAGCAAUGCCGCGUGAAGGAUGAAGGCCUAUGGGUUGUAAACUUCUUUUCUCAGAAAAGAAUUAUGACGGUAUCUGAGGAAUAAGCAUCGGCUAACUCUGUGCCAGCAGCCGCGGUAAGACAGAGGAUGCAAGCGUUAUCCGGAAUGAUUGGGCGUAAAGCGUCUGUAGGUUGUUUAAAAAGUAUUCUGUCAAAGAUUAGGGCUUAACCCUAGAUAGGCAGAAUAAACUUUUAAGCUAGAGGUUGGUAGAGGCAGAGGGAAUUCCCGGUGGAGCGGUGAAAUGCGUAAAUAUCGGGAGGAACACCAAAGGCGAAGGCACUCUGCUGGGCCAAUACUAACACUGAGAGACGAAAGCGAGGGGAGCAAAUGGGAUUAGAAACCCCUGUAGUCC
Molecule: ribosomal RNA, 426 nt
Filed under: uncultured bacterium
Lineage: Bacteria
Description: partial 16S ribosomal RNA
Rfam family: Bacterial small subunit ribosomal RNA
Source: RNAcentral